Molecule: long non-coding RNA, 1885 nt
Organism: Mirounga angustirostris (Northern elephant seal)
Lineage: Eukaryota; Metazoa; Chordata; Mammalia; Carnivora; Phocidae
Exons: 3
Source: RefSeq, a predicted model, not a curated record
GGGCUUUGGCUCCAACGUCUCCAACUCCCGGCCUCGCCCCUGGUCACAUGCAGCCUCUGCGCCCAUGAAGGGCAGUUUCCAGCCCCUCUGAAGCUGCAUCUUCGCAGGACAGGUUUUUAGGUUUCUCUGCCUGGGAAAUGAUUCUGAGGUUUGGGACAGUGAAGCCCUGAGCUCAGCGCAAUGUUUCCAGUGGCCAUUCAGGGAGGGAGGAAGCAUCUGGAGCGGGGCCAUUACAGAAAGGAGGUCUGACUUGGGACAACAUCCCUUCAUGCCGAUCUUUAUUGAACCUCCAGUCUGGGGGUCACCCCCCGCCCCGCCCCGCCAUCGGCCAGGGUCUGUGCUCCCAGGUCAGUCUCCUGACAUUCAGUUCAGGCAGGGACUGGGCCAGGGGGCUCACCGAUCCGUCUCAACUUUCUAGUCCUGUUCUGGCACGUGGCAGGUGCUUGGAAUUACUGAAUGGAUGCGUGACAAUGACCAUCUCUUCCGUAGAAACUGGGUCCCCUGGGAUAGUGCUUUGGGCACACCCAGGUAUUUGCUCUAAAUUUUGUUCACAGCUAACUGCAAUCUCUGGCUCGUCCUUUCGUUUAAAUAAGCCCAGGGCGCCUGGGUGGCUCAGGCGGUUGGGCGACUGCCUUCGGCUCAGGUCAUGAUCCUGGAGUCCCGGGAUCGAGUCCCGCGUCGGGCUCCCUGCUCAGCGGGGGGUCUGCUUCUCCCUCUGACCCUCCCCCCUCUCAUGUGCUCUCUCAAAUAAAUAAAUAAAAUCUUUAAAGUAAAUAAAUAAAUAAAUAAAUAAAUAAGCCCAACCCUACUGGGGUCUACUAUUACUUCCCCCAAAGUGUUCCCACAUCCCCUGUCAAGGAGGCCGGACUCAUGUUUCUGUCCACUUCUUUCACUGCCAGAAAAAGAAAAGUUUCCGCCAACCAUCUCCAUCCGGGCUCUCCAUCCUGCAAGCAGCGAGACUCCAAGAAGACACUCUGCCGCAUGGGGCCCCGUGGAACCACAGCAAGGACAGGCUCCCUGGCGGGUGCCCUGGCAGCCCCUCAAGCUUGGGGUCUGGUGAACCGGUCCCGGAUCCAAAGUUUGAGGGGUUCGGAUCCAAGUAACGUUUCUGUCACUUCUCAGUGGGGGAACCUCGGGCUUAAUCUAAACCUCAAUUUCUUUCAUCUUUAGGGAUCAGUAAUAUUGAACGGAAGAAGACGAAAUGAGACUUUGUAUCCAAUGGAUGACGAUAAGGCGAAAGCGUAUGUGUAUGUGUGCGUCUGUGUCCAGAGAAGCCGGUUAUCUCUGUAAUUUGCCAGGGCUGUUCAUUUUGGUCCCUCCAAUUCAAGUCUGUUCAACUUGAAAAAAAGCCCAUAAACCAGCGCAGGGCUGUGGGUUCCUAUUUCCUUUGACUUCUGUUCGUUUUUCCUAAAGAUCCUCUCACCUUGAUGGAAUGAAGAGCUCUAGGAUGAGACCCUCACCACAGACACAGCCCCACUCCUGGGCCUAAGGCACUAAGCGUUUCAGAAAAGGCGCCCGAGACUGGUACAUCUGUGCUGAAGGCGCUACCGCCUCCCCUCUCUCUUGGGAAACACCAAGGGAAAAAGGACUCUGCCAUAAUUAUGGAGUGACUGCGCCCCCCAGACAUGUGAGACAGGAGCAGGAGACUACGGAAGGGAGUAAUCCGCUCCACUGAAGUGCCAAGCUGGGACUGCAGGCCUGGGCAAGAAUGAGCCACGGACAAGUUCUAUGCUCAGAGGCUGACUCCUAUUUGGGCAUUUUGCUAGGGCUGAGGGAAAUGAGCUGGUGUCUUACCAGCUUCAAGAAUGCUGACAGCAGAAGUCCUCAAUUAUCGCAUGGAAAUGAUUUACUUUAAAAAUUAAGUCUGCACUGAUUCAUUGAGGAU